CCUUUGACGUUAGCGGCGGACGGGUGAGUAACACGUGGGUAACCUACCUAUAAGACUGGGAUAACUUCGGGAAACCGGAGCUAAUACCGGAUAAUAUUUCGAACCGCAUGGUUCGAUAGUGAAAGAUGGUUUUGCUAUCACUUAUAGAUGGACCCGCGCCGUAUUAGCUAGUUGGUAAGGUAACGGCUUACCAAGGCGACGAUACGUAGCCGACCUUAGAGGGUGAUCGGCCACACUGGAACUGAGACACGGUCCAGACUCCUACGGGAGGCAGCAGCG
This 279-nucleotide ribosomal RNA is filed under the name uncultured Staphylococcus sp. Its description in RNAcentral is "partial 16S ribosomal RNA". It matches the Rfam family "Bacterial small subunit ribosomal RNA", at positions 83 to 356 of the family's 1533-position model. The record is from RNAcentral. Lineage: Bacteria; Bacillati; Bacillota; Bacilli; Caryophanales; Staphylococcaceae.